RNAcentral lists this long non-coding RNA (225 nucleotides) under Olea europaea (common olive). RNAcentral describes it as "long non-coding RNA (OEUR_LNC006067)". The record is from RNAcentral. Lineage: Eukaryota; Viridiplantae; Streptophyta; Magnoliopsida; Lamiales; Oleaceae.
AAAAAAAAUAAAAAAUGAUCAAUCCAAAAAUGAUAAGAAGGAAAUUCGUGGCUAUCAGGCAAAAGAGACUUACAAUUUCAAGUAGCACAAAGGAUGAAGAUAAAGAAGCAAGGAGCUCAUCAUCAACAGUUGAUAAAGGCCAUUUUACUAUAUACACUUGUGAUCAUAGAAAGUUUGUGUCCCUUGGCUUAUCUUGAGUGUUAAUGAGGUUAAAUAAGAUUAUGG